CAAGUCCAUGCAGUGCUUUGAACACGUAAGUUAAAACCUUAAAAUCAAUUCUUUCAAAUCUAACACUUUUU
Molecule: long non-coding RNA, 71 nt
Organism: Sinocyclocheilus rhinocerous
Lineage: Eukaryota; Metazoa; Chordata; Actinopteri; Cypriniformes; Cyprinidae
Exons: 3
Source: RefSeq, a predicted model, not a curated record